This 268-nucleotide unclassified non-coding RNA is filed under the name uncultured fungus. RNAcentral describes it as "partial contains 5.8S ribosomal RNA, internal transcribed spacer 2, and large subunit ribosomal RNA". The stretch from base 1 to 52 matches the Rfam family "5.8S ribosomal RNA", at positions 103 to 154 of the family's 154-position model. Lineage: Eukaryota; Fungi. The record is from RNAcentral.
AACGCACAUUGCGCCCCUUGGUAUUCCGAGGGGCAUGCCUGUUCGAGCGUCAUUUCAACCCCUCAAGCUCUGCUUGGUGUUGGGCCGCGCUGCUGCUCCGGCGGCGGCGGGCCCCAAAAUCAGUUGGCGGUGCCGUCGCGGCUCCAAGCGUAGUAGCAAACCCUCUCGCUCUGGAGACCCGGCGGUUGCCUGCCAGAUAACCCCCCCAGAAUCUUCCGAUUCUCCCACGGUUGACCUCGGAUCAGGUAGGGAUACCCGCUGAACUUAA